AUAAAUACGGCCAUUAAACUUGCACCGUUUUGUUUUCGGUGGACCACCCUGUAUAUCCGAGAACAAAUUAUUUUCCAAGGUCAUGUCAAAUUUCCUUGAAUAUUUUUACGUUUCGUUAAUGCGAAAAUUACAUCCGCAAAGUUGUUUAAACAAAAUUUAGUUGAAAUAUUUGUUUGCGAUGCCUAUUAUCGUAGAACGGCGACCCAUGGAGAUUGAGAGCUAAUUUGUAAAGGUUGAAUUGUAAAGUGUGUUGAAUAAUCAAUUAUAGUAAUUGUUUUUUCAAUAAUUUUAUUUCAUUCUGUUCUAAAGUAUGUGUACCGUGAUUUUAGCACUAAAGCUUUUCUAUCUGAUCGAUUAUUAAUUUGGAAAUAAGAAAAUGCUGAACACUUGGGACUUUAUAAGCAAAUUACUUCCAAUAUCUCAGUACUUGAAAGAUUAUAAUUUAAACAACGCGCUCUGUGAUUUGUUAGCUGGAAUUACAGUUGGACUGACGCUAAUUCCGCAAGUAAUUGCCUACGCUUCAUUAGCCGGUUUGGAGCCGCAGAUUGGCCUAUAUUCAGCAUUAUGUGGUGGAUUUAUUUAUGCGAUUUUUGGCACAAUUCCUGAACUCAAUAUUGCACCCACCGCUCUUCUAUCAUUGCUCACUUUUCAGUAUGUUCAUAAUGUAACAUUUGGAAACACCAGAGCAGCCAUUAUGCUCACCUUUUUUGCUGGAGUGGUAGAACUAAUAUGUGGCAUUUUGCAUUUGGGUAAGUUUCAAAACUUUCAUUUGAAUCAUUUAAUGAAA
This is a long non-coding RNA of Dendroctonus ponderosae (mountain pine beetle), 787 nucleotides long. RefSeq lists it as uncharacterized. The transcript has 3 exons. The record is from RefSeq and is a predicted model, not a curated record. NCBI's taxonomy places the organism in Eukaryota, Metazoa, Arthropoda, Insecta, Coleoptera, Curculionidae.